GUUCUCCUACGGGACGCAGCAGUGAGGAAUAUUGGUCAAUGGGAGAGAUCCUGAACCAGCCAAGCCGCGUGAGGGAAGACGGCCCUAUGGGUUGUAAACCUCUUUUGCCGGAGAACAAAACCCGGGACGAGUCCCGGACUGCGUGUAUCCGAAGAAAAAGCAUCGGCUAACUCCGUGCCAGCAGCCGCGGUAAUACGGAGGAUGCGAGCGUUAUCCGGAUUUAUUGGGUUUAAAGGAUGCGUAGGCG
This 247-nucleotide ribosomal RNA is filed under the name uncultured bacterium. Its description in RNAcentral is "partial 16S ribosomal RNA". It matches the Rfam family "Bacterial small subunit ribosomal RNA", at positions 333 to 577 of the family's 1533-position model. The record is from RNAcentral.